Molecule: long non-coding RNA, 1857 nt
Filed under: Homo sapiens (human)
Lineage: Eukaryota; Metazoa; Chordata; Mammalia; Primates; Hominidae
Description: HSALNT0051598
Source: RNAcentral
GACCCGCCUGCACAAAGCCGCGUCCUCGCGUCCCCGCGUCCCCGCCGCCGCCUCGGGCCGCCGCGCGCGGCCCCUCCUCCUCUCCUCCCGCCGCCGCCUCGGCCGCUUCUUCCGCUUUUUUUUUUUUUUAAUUUAGAUGUGAUGUUUGUUUCGAGCUCUCGCCUUGCGCACGGUUAAAGUCGCGGCGGCAGAAUUAUCGGAAGAUUCCUGCAGGGGAAAGAAGAGAGAGACGAGUCAGCUCCGGCGCCGGCGGAGCCCCGGCUCUCGGCACCUGGGGAAGGAAAACACGCCCCAACACACGCGCCUCUGCGGGCGCCAAAAAUAACCCGCGCGGGCCGGGCGCCCACCCCGGGGCAACCCGCGCCCACCUCAGGGGCCCCAGGCACCCACCCCGAGAGCUGCUGCAACUGUCAGUCACCCACCCGGAACCCCGAGGGGCAACUACCAAGUAGGCCUCGGGGCCCGGAACAAGGGUCCCGGGGCUCAGGAUCUCGGCCGCUGCGCCUCACUCCUGCCCCAGCCCCGCGCACGGAACUCGUUUCCUUCCCACCCAGUUCGGGACACUCCUCUCUGACUUCCCCAGUAGGAUCUCACUUGCAGCGCUACAGCCAGUCCCUCUUCUGGUUCUCACGCACCCACUUAAGGCGGAGUGACUGGCCUAAAAGUCCAAGCUGAUCGUGUGGCUUCCGUUCGUAAAUAUCUCCCCUGGAUCUCCCUCCCUGGAGCCAGACAAGACUCAAAACUCCGAAGGGAAUGCAGUCCCCGCAGGGCGCAAAGGAGAAACUAAUAGUCCAGAGGCGGGGUGAACUUAAAGACCUGGCUUUCAUUAGCGUGGUGUUGUAACAGACUGCCAAGGAGCCUCUGAGGAAAUGGAUUUACGUACAUAUACAUACUCGCCCUUGCCCCUGAAGCAACAUCAAAUACUUUCAUGUUAUUCUUGGGGGCGUUUUAAUUCUUCCGAUCCUCUGAAUUCGUGUUUUUGUACAUCUCUUUCCAACCUGGGCCUACACACUAACAGAAAUAGUUUUUUACAUCGAAGGACAAUGCUUAGUGUUUUAUUCAGUCUCAGCUCUUUUCUUUCUUUUUUCUCGUUGUGUUUCAAAAUGUUUAUUUUUUCUGUCUUGUGAUAGUUUUGGAGGAAAAAUAUUGAAAUAAUUCAAAUCAGGCUCUUAACUCUGCUUUAUUAAAUUUAUAGUCAUAGUAGCCUGUGAGUAUGCUUCGGGGGAGGAAAAAAGAAUGCUGGGGUCUUUAUUCUUCAAGUUCUCUAAGUUUGAUAUUUUGAAUAAACACCCAGAGGUGUCUCUGCCUUUUGUGUGUUAGUAUCUAAUCUUUCCUGCAUUUACGAGUCACUAGUAAAAUGCUAUGAAAGCCAUAGAUCCCAUGGCUCUCACUGUGAUUUUCCUGGGCUGAGUAGGGACUUAGUGAUGUUUAACCCCCAGUAUGCUUUUUAUAGAAGCACCAGCUGAUUCACCAGUGCCCUCCAAAGUGAGCACCUAUCCAUCUCACUCUGGACUCCCAACAGGUCAUACCAGGGAGCUUCGUUGAAAUAGACUUGGCAUUUAAAUUAAAAUGUUUCCCAAAGCAUCUUGGCAGACCUGUAACUAAUGAUGCCAGAGGCCCAAGGCCUGUGCCAGGUUCCCUUUUAUUCCCAUAAGUGCUUGUCUCCCACAAGCCACUGGUCACACGCCUGCUGAUGUUAUAGAAGCACUUCUUCAUCCCACAAACAGCCCAACUGUAGGUACCCUAUCUCAGACAUGGUGAAGGGAAGCAGCAUGUUCCUCUGACAUGUGCGAUGCUUGGCUCCCAACAGGCUUUUUAUAAUAAGCUAAACUCAGAUUUUUUCAUCACAAAUAGCGU